Molecule: long non-coding RNA, 209 nt
Filed under: Brassica rapa (field mustard)
Lineage: Eukaryota; Viridiplantae; Streptophyta; Magnoliopsida; Brassicales; Brassicaceae
Description: long non-coding RNA (BRAP_LNC002347)
Source: RNAcentral
UGAAGAACCCUAAGGAACGAACACUCAACCGGAUUGGAAAGAUAUGAACUCGAUCCGUAAGGAAAGAGAACUGAUGGUAUGAACGGUGACACAAAGGGUUGCGGAUGACCCAAUGAUACUACCAGACUUCGAUCGUUGCCGGAUGUGACGCACCGGUCCAACAAAAGAAGGAUCGAAACUUGGAGAUAACCUCACCAAGAAACUAAGAA